CGGCCCCUACUUCGUAGUUAAAAGGCUUAAAGCCGUUUGAAACUAUGAAAGAGAUCCCUGCCUACGCGAGACUCUUCAAUCUUCACUUUUUCUCAUCGGACGACGUCGUUUUGAAGCCUCACUGCAUUGCUAGUUCACGAUCCUGAGAUUGGAGAAUCCCAACUCUCGGAAGACGACGAUAGUGAAGGAGAGGAUGAAGAUGAACUGAAUAAGAAAAAGGGAGGGGAUUCUCGGACUAACAAGUUAGUUACUUAUCCAAGCACGGAGCGUGUUCAAAUCCAUAUGCAGAAGUAGAGCAUACUUGCUACCAUUUUGAAGUGAAACAAGAGUUUCUCAAGGGUGCCUUGACGAGGGCUCUUUGAUUUAUCAUAUUUUCUCAGCUCUUUGUUUCACCCCUUGUGAAAAAUGAAGCCAUGGAGCGGGAGGUACAGGCUGUAGAUUCAGAGUUUAACUAGGUUCUGCAGAACGGUGCUUGCCACCUUGAACAACUUCAAUGCCAUACAGCCUCACCUGGUCACCCGUUUAAUAGAUUCGCAUGAGGUAAAACUUAAAUCUUGGGGUUUUACUUUUAUCUUUCCGUUUCCUUUUGCUCAAGUAAGAUCUUUAUUACAUAAUAAUGUAUGCAACU
Long non-coding RNA from Rosa chinensis, 628 nucleotides. RefSeq lists it as uncharacterized. The transcript has 4 exons. NCBI's taxonomy places the organism in Eukaryota, Viridiplantae, Streptophyta, Magnoliopsida, Rosales, Rosaceae. The record is from RefSeq and is a predicted model, not a curated record.